This 66-nucleotide transfer RNA is filed under the name Rhinatrema bivittatum (two-lined caecilian). RNAcentral's name for it is "tRNA-Cys". Lineage: Eukaryota; Metazoa; Chordata; Amphibia; Gymnophiona; Rhinatrematidae. The record is from RNAcentral.
AGCCUUGUGGUGUAACGCACACAGGGGUGCAAAUCCUGAGGGGCAGGUGAGAGUCUGCCGGGGCUU